This is a long non-coding RNA of Etheostoma spectabile (orangethroat darter), 89 nucleotides long. RefSeq lists it as uncharacterized. NCBI's taxonomy places the organism in Eukaryota, Metazoa, Chordata, Actinopteri, Perciformes, Percidae. The transcript is spliced from 3 exons. The record is from RefSeq and is a predicted model, not a curated record.
CUUCCAAUCAAGUAGCCUACUCUAAUGGCGUUUUGAGGUAACGUUAGCAAUCAAACAAUCCAUAGAUAGCUACAACGUUUCUGAAAUGA